This 1290-nucleotide long non-coding RNA is filed under the name Mastacembelus armatus (zig-zag eel). RNAcentral describes it as "lncRNA (ENSMAMG00000026005.1)". Lineage: Eukaryota; Metazoa; Chordata; Actinopteri; Synbranchiformes; Mastacembelidae. The record is from RNAcentral.
CAGUAAAGUAGUGGUACAAAGAGCACUACUAUAAUGCCCACAUAGGAUUUGCCCAGCCUAUUCAGAGGCAGUGUACUUUUACCUUUAUGGGUUUACCACACACUUCCUGGUAGCUAGACCGUCCUUUGUUUUAUCUGAGGCUGAGUACAGGCUGAUUCUCUGGUUACUCCUCAGUUAUUGUUUUGCAACUCUUCAAAAUAAAUUCAGGACCUAGGUUUGUAUAUUUUCUCUCCAUUACAACACAAUUACCAGGUAAGCAGAGUUUGAUAAGAAAGCAGAGUGCUAAAAUGUGUCAGGAUUUUCAAUCUGCGAUCUUUCAUACACUACUUGUGGUCCUGCUUUAUGAUUUGUUUAUUCAUUGUUGAUUUGCCAGACUGUAGUUAUCUAAAUGUUUUUAUCCAGAAUUUCCUAUCCUUCUAUUGUGUAUUGACUCUGUGUGUCAACCAGAGAGCUGUGUCACGGAAUAUGGGAGAAACCAAACCUACUGUAUGAAUUAAUCAUGAACAGAUAAGGCUGGAACAAAGAGAUUCAAUUACACAAGCUUUCCUGACAAUUUAGCUGUCACUCUGAGUACAGCCACUCAAUAUACAGCGCUACUUGUCUAAGUUACAUCAAAGUUGAUGCAGUUGACAACUGAAGCCUAUAUACAAUAUGUAAUGAAGGCAAAUAUUCUCGACUUUCUGAUUAUAUCUUAAGACAAACUCUUAUAGUCAUAUAUGUUUUUGUUUAUUCAGUGGAGCAAGUUUGUUGCUUGAGGUGGAAAUUACAGACAUCAGCAUUUUGAAGAGUGACUGAAGCAGUGGGAACUGAAGGAAUCUCCUGGUCUCUGAAGAAAGAAUCAGUGUCAAAGAGCUCAUGACAAGUUACAGCAGUGGUGGAUAUUUUAACCCUGCCUACCAUGACAGCGAGACUCUGGAAAUUGAUAGAAGGACUUCCAGCAAAACCCACCACACUAAUCCCUAUGCUGGGGAAUACCCAGCCUGGUGGGGUAACAGAGCAGACACAGAUCACUCAUCUGUGGGUCAGAACAGCACUGAUGAUGCUGCAGGGAGAGUACCCUUGGGGGGCUGGCACGGGGACAGCUGGACAGGGACAGAAAGUAUCCCCAUGGUCCUCACCUCAACACACCCUGGGAGCCCUUCAUGGCAGCAUGACCUGAGUGAGUGGAAGAUCUACAGUGUGUGUGUGACAUUAGGUCUGUGUAUACAAGUCUUUAUUGCAUUAAAUCAAAUGAAAAAUGGAAACUCAAUAGUAUCUGGUGGUGACUAUUUGUUAGACCAUAUCAGGUGA